Xenopus laevis (African clawed frog) is the source of this 959-nucleotide long non-coding RNA. RefSeq lists it as uncharacterized. Lineage: Eukaryota; Metazoa; Chordata; Amphibia; Anura; Pipidae. The record is from RefSeq and is a predicted model, not a curated record. The transcript is spliced from 3 exons.
AUUACACAGAGGGAUAUACCAUCUUACCACAGGCCCUGCGAUUACACAAAGAUCUUUCACUUCUUGCCAGAUAUUGACUGGCAGCAGCCGGCGUGUCGCCCUCCAGAGCCUUUGGGGAAAGAGAUUCGGCUUGCACCAUCUAUGGACAGCAAAUGAGAAUGCACAUCAAGGGAGGAAAUUCUCAUUCAAUCCACGAGUGGAAAUGUUGUUUGCAAUGCCCACAUCAAUUUACUAUUUGAAAUAUAAUCCAUUCUAUACAAGGAACAAGUACAUGCCCUUUAAGUAUUUGGGUAAGGCAGUGUUUUGUCUAAUUAUAAGUGUGAUUACAUAUUACUGUUUGUUAAUAGUUGGAUCAUUACUGCUUGUGGUUAUUAUCCUUAUUUAUAUGUUUUGUGCAAUUGAUUCAUUAUAUGAGUAUAGUAUCAUGUUCAGCACUUUAUGUUGCAAUGCUGUAUGUAAUUAUGAUACUUAUUGUUGCACCUUUAUGUUUAAUCAUCAAAGACUAUAAAUCUUAUGCAACUUAUGCAUUGUGUCUAACAGGGGUGAUGCGCCAAUGAAAUGAGUUGAGAAACUCGUCAGGCAGUGCCCCACUGGUUACCAGGGGGAGGAAAAAAUACCGCUUGUGGUAACUUUAAGAGCUGAAAGAUUUUCAAACGGGAAAUUAAUUUCUUCUAGCGCAGAAAGCACAAUUGCACUUCUCUGCACUAGAUCCCUCCAGUGCCAAAAAAGGGGAGCAGAGGGGCAAAAUUUACCCCUGGUGUAUAAUUUUUUUUUUUUUUGUGAUUUACAUUAUCUUUAAUGGGGUUUCACUAUAUAUUAUUUAACCUUUUGUAUAGUAAUAUUGUAUUGUAGAAUUAUUUAUUAUGCUAAUAUUGUAACUUGUGGCUUCUUAACAGCUGCUCAGAGCCCACUGAGUAAGUGAGUGUCGCAGGCACUUUCCAAGAUGGUGACCUCCUGUG